This 253-nucleotide ribosomal RNA is filed under the name uncultured bacterium. Its description in RNAcentral is "partial 16S ribosomal RNA". It matches the Rfam family "Bacterial small subunit ribosomal RNA", at positions 524 to 776 of the family's 1533-position model. The record is from RNAcentral.
UACGUAGGGUGCAAGCGUUGUCCGGAAUUACUGGGCGUAAAGAGCUCGUAGGUGGUUUGUCGCGUUGUUCGUGAAAACUCACAGCUCAACUGUGGGCGUGCGGGCGAUACGGGCAGACUUGAGUACUGCAGGGGAGACUGGAAUUCCUGGUGUAGCGGUGGAAUGCGCAGAUAUCAGGAGGAACACCAAUAGCGAAGGCAGCUCGCUGGGACGUUACUGACACUGAGGCGCGAAAGCGUGGGGAGCGAACAGG